GAUGAACGCUGGCGGCGUGCCUAAUACAUACAAGUCGAGCGAACGGACGAGAAGCUUGCUUCUCUGAUGUUAGCGGCGGACGGGUGAGUAACACGUGGAUAACCUACCUAUAAGACUGGGAUAACUUCGGGAAACCGGAGCUAAUACCGGAUAAUAUCUUGAACCGCAUGGUUCAAAAGUGAAAGACGGUCUUGCUGUCACUUAUAGAUGGAUCCGCGCUGCAUUAGCUAGUUGGUAAGGUAACGGCUUACCAAGGCAACGAUGCAUAGCCGACCUGAGAGGGUGAUCGGCCACACUGGAACUGAGACACGGUCCAGACUCCUACGGGAGGCAGCAGUAGGGAAUCUUCCGCAAUGGGCGAAAGCCUGACGGAGCAACGCCGCGUGAGUGAUGAAGGUCUUCGGAUCGUAAAACUCUGUUAUUAGGGAAGAACAUAUGUGUAAGUAACUGUGCACAUCUUGACGGUACCUAAUCAGAAAGCCACGGCUAACUACGUG
This 497-nucleotide ribosomal RNA is filed under the name uncultured bacterium. RNAcentral describes it as "partial 16S ribosomal RNA". It matches the Rfam family "Bacterial small subunit ribosomal RNA", at positions 28 to 507 of the family's 1533-position model. The record is from RNAcentral.